UACAAACAUUUACAAAUGACAGCCAUUGAAAUGAUGACAGCACAGCUGCAACACCGCAGUCAGUAACAUCAGUAACGUUUGAGGUUAUCUUCUUCUUCUUGUUGGCCUCAACCAAGAUACCUAAAACAUAUGGUAUACCGACUGCCUAUCUUUCCUUAAUAAAAAAAAUUGGUCAAAAAACUUAUAUUUUGGUCAAGCACAUUAAAUUUUGUGUAACGUCAAACUAAAACAAAGGUUAUGUUAUUUUGGAGUUAUAAGAUUAGAAGGAAGCGAAGGAAGUAAUAACGUUUGACGUUAUAUAUUUAUUACGAUUAUUAAUACAGACGACAGUUUGUUAGAUUUUCUGUUAUUUGAUGUUAUGAUUUAAUUGAUCUGAUAAAAAUGGAUACAAAAAAGUACGGAGUCAGCUUAUCGGCUCUAAAAAGUUUACAAGAUUUCCAGCGUUCGCUCUUGAAUAAGAAACGAAAAAAAUUAAUUAGAAUGCCUUUUGCAGUUGAAUGUUUGGUUUCCUUCAAUGAUGGAGAACCGUAUCGUUGCGGUAUAGUAGCAGACUCGGGACUUGUGUCUUCUGAAUUAUUUGGUGUGAUUUAUUUGAAAAAUCGGGUUGCAUCCAGUACUGAAACUGAUACUACUGUGGUAUUUGAGGGUAAAGGGCCAUUACUUAAAAUGUCUAUACGAUUUGAUAGUAAAGACGACAAGGAUGCUUUUAUGACCAGCAUUCAAAAUGUUCUAAGCUCGGAUUCAGAUAGUGGCGAUAGUGUAUUACAGUAGUGUAUUAUUUGUUAUACAUUGAUUUGGCUGAAUAAAUAAUUUUUUCUUCUCCGUCAACUAAAUUUUACAAAAUGUGAAGUGAAACAGUUCCGAUUUCGCGUCCGAUAUGAAACUGUUUGGCCCAAUUAGGAGGAAAAAGCCCGAUUGUUCGAAUGGAAUUUGAUCCCUCGAUACUCCUGAUACACCGGAAAAUUUCGGAGAUAAUUUAAUCGAACACAGACGAGGGAAUUGUUAACGGUUGUUGUAUGACUCAGUGUGCGAUUAAUUCAUUGCUUGAAUAAGCCAUCACUAAAUUAAAUCGAACUCUUCCGAGCAAAAUAGAAUAAAUCAAUCAAGUUUGUUUCAAAGCGGAAUGAUAAAACGAACUUAUUACUUUUACAAAUACGGUGCUUAUGCAACAACACGAACACUCGCUCCACUGAUUGAAAAAUACCAAAGGACUUUGCCCCCAAAUUUAUUUAAAGUCGCACAGUGUUUUCCAAAAAUAUUUGUAUUUAUCCCUCUGAACACAAGUCUUGCCGUGUUUGUUUUAUU
This is an RNA transcript of Tribolium castaneum (red flour beetle), 1305 nucleotides long. RefSeq lists it as uncharacterized. The transcript has 5 exons. Lineage: Eukaryota; Metazoa; Arthropoda; Insecta; Coleoptera; Tenebrionidae. The record is from RefSeq and is a predicted model, not a curated record.